GCCGCUGUCGCCCAGUUGGUAGAGGCGUCGCCAGUACAGAUGGCCGAGGUCGCUGGUUCAAGUCUAGCCCGUGGUG
Non-coding RNA from Phthorimaea operculella (potato tuberworm), 76 nucleotides. Lineage: Eukaryota; Metazoa; Arthropoda; Insecta; Lepidoptera; Gelechiidae. The record is from the annotation of a GenBank genome assembly.